AUUGAACGCUGGCGGCAGGCCUAACACAUGCAAGUCGAACGAGUGGCGGACGGGUGAGUAAUGUCUGGGAAACUGCCUGAUGGAGGGGGAUAACUACUGGAAACGGUAGAUAAUACCGCAUACCAUCGGAUGUGCCCAGAUGGGAUGAGCUAGUAGGUGGGGUAACGGCUCACCUAGGCGACGAUCCCUAGCUGGUCUGAAAGGGUGACGAGCCACACUGGAACUGAGACGCGGUCCAGACUCCUACGCGAGACAGGAGUGGGGAAUAUUGCACAAUGGGCGCAAGCGUGAUGCAGCCAUGCCGUGUGUAAGAAGAGGGCCGUCGGUUUGUAAAGUACUUUCAGCGGAGAAGGGUUACCCGCAGAAGAAGCACCGGCUAACUCCGUGCCAGCAGCCGCGGUAAUA
This 405-nucleotide ribosomal RNA is filed under the name uncultured bacterium. RNAcentral describes it as "partial 16S ribosomal RNA". It matches the Rfam family "Bacterial small subunit ribosomal RNA", at positions 30 to 525 of the family's 1533-position model. The record is from RNAcentral.